CCAGACUCCUACGGGAGGCAGCAGUAGGGAAUCUUUCACGAUGGGCGAAAGCCUGAUGGAGCAACGCCGCGUGCAGGAUGAAGGCCUUCGGGUUGUAAACUGCUUUUAUAAGCGAGAAAUAUGAUGGUAACUUAUGAAUAAGGAUCGGCUAACUACGUGCCAGCAGCCGCGGUCAUACGUAGGAUCCGAGCAUUAUCCGGAUUUACUGGGUGUAAAGGGAGCGUAGACGGCAGUGCAAGUCCGGAGUGAAAGCCCGGGGCUCAGCCCUGGGACGGCUCUGGAAACGGUAAAGCUGGAGUGCGGGGGGGGAAGGCGGAAUUCCUGGUGUAGCGGUGAAAUGCGUAGAUAUCAGGAGGAACACCGGCGGCGAAGGCGGCCUGCUGGACCGUAACUGACGUUGAGGCUCGAAAGCGUGGGGAGCAAACAGGAUUAGAUCCCCCGGUAC
This 445-nucleotide ribosomal RNA is filed under the name uncultured bacterium. RNAcentral's name for it is "bacterial SSU rRNA". It matches the Rfam family "Bacterial small subunit ribosomal RNA", at positions 331 to 793 of the family's 1533-position model. The record is from RNAcentral.